Molecule: non-coding RNA, 4530 nt
Organism: Sus scrofa (pig)
Lineage: Eukaryota; Metazoa; Chordata; Mammalia; Artiodactyla; Suidae
Source: RefSeq, a predicted model, not a curated record
UGUUGAGAGCAGUGACCUUAGCAUUGGAUGGCCAGCGUUCUCUUCAUCACACACAGAACGAUACCUUCUGGCCACACGACGCUGAAGACAGACUUUGAAAAAUGAUGCUGCCUUGAGGGCAUGGUUAGGAGGCUGCUGUCUCUUCAAUGGAUUUUGACCACCCACCAAGAUUUCCAGCAAAGUAAGGAAGGAUCCCAGCAGAAAUCUGGUUAAAGAGCAAAUUAAUCUGCUGAUGUUUCCUCAAACUUACGGUACACGAAUUGCUAUCAACAGCAUGGAUGAGAAAUCCGGCACAUACGAUUUCACUUCUGACGUACUGUGAUGAAGGUGGGACUGAUGGCAGAGUAACCGACUUCACUGCCACCGUGGUUCUUUGAAGUUAGCGUUGAAAUGUGCCAUCUUAUAAUCAUUCCCAUGGCAACAAGCUGCGAGAAGACAAACAAGCAUAGGGUUAAGACUUCACUGCAGGAAUCAAGCAGAUGGAAAAAUCAGGCUGUAAGAGAGGAAAACCUUUAUUUAAACAUAAAUAUCUUCAAGAAGAGAAUGAAGAAAUGAGAAACUGACUAAAAGCAGCUUAGAAAGGAAAGAAGUAAGUAUUUGCUUAUACCAUUUUAUUCUCUAUUUGACCUCAGUACCAAGCCUGUCUUUACAUUGAGCCUGCAGAGGAGAAGUAGGCUGUGGGCACUUAUCAAACAGAAAGCAGACUAUGAGUGUGGCUUUAGGUGGUGGCUGAGACUCACUCCAGCACAGAAUUAGCUACUUUUGCCCCCUGUACAGUCGAAGUAGCAGGAGGUUCAUUGGUAUAAAUUAAGGGAGAAGUCACCUUAUAAAAGCCUGGUGUCCAUGUGGCUCUCCAGCCUGAUGGAGCUGUGCAAUCUCAGAGGAGUGAGGGCAGGUGGUCAGAGUGAAUUCUACCACCUCAGUCAGAUUCUGGCUUUGGGGCAGCCAUGGUCAACCUUGGUAGAACCAGGGUAGAGUGGGAUGUAAGACUAGGCCAAGCACUUUUUAAGUGUUGAAUUGUUCCCCCCACCCCCCAACUCAUAUGUUAAAGUCCUACUUCUAGUACCUCAGAAUGUGACCUUAUUUGGAAACAAGGUCAUUGUAAAUAUAGUAAGUUAAGAUGAGGUUAUACUGCAGUAGAAUGGGCCCCUAGUCCAAUAUGACUGGUGUCCUUAUAAAAGGGGGCAAUUUAGACACACACACACACAUAUACACUGGGAGAAUCCCAUAUGAAGAUGAAGCAGAGGUCAGGUGAUGGAUGUACAAUCCAAGGGGUCUCAAAGAUUGACAGCAAACCAUCAGAAGCCACGGAGAGACCUGGAAUAGAUAUUCCCUCUCUCCCUCAGAAGGAAUUGAUACUGCCCACAUGUUGGUCUCAGACUUGCAGCUUCCAUAACUGCGAGACCCCCAGUUUGUGGUACUGUUACAGUGGCCCUAAGAAAUUAUCACAGCAUUUUUCCAGGAAGCUGCUCUCAGGUUGCAGACACAUGCUGCUGCUUCCUAACCUGGAGCCAAAACAAACUCCAUGCUAAGUAGCUAUCAUUAAAUUCUGCCCUUAUAGAUCUCACUAGACUUAUCCAGUGCUAAGUACCAUAUUGGAUAUUUUGAUCCUUUCCCUGAAGGUAAAAGUAACAGAAAGUCCUUCUCAUCACUCUGCUGUCAGAGUCAAUGAUGUUGAUGCAGAUGAAGCAGGCAAAGAAAGGCAGCAGGAGGUGUUGGCUCUCUUUAAACUGUGCUACUUUGGGAAAGCCAACUUUUCUUAGUGAAAAAUUCUCCAAGACCAACUCUUCAAGAAAAUGAGUUUGGGUACAUGCUUGGAAGAAUACAAUGGUUAAAUUCCAUUUGCAACCAACUCAAAUGUUUCAUCAUUUGGUGCCUAGAGAAUUAUAUUCUAUGAAAUGAAGCUUAAAGGAGGCUCAACAUUUGCUGGAGCUUGUUAACAUUUUAUUAAUGUUUUUUUUUCUCCCCUUCUAAGAUUCUAAUUAAUGGGUUUGGGUCUUAUACAAAUGGCACAAGAGGAAAUAACUCAAAAAGUUUUAGAAUUCUGUACUCUCUGUUGACACGUAUGUCAUUGAGACUAUAUUGUGGGAAGGAGGACAAAACUGGUUGUGUUUACGGAGUCAUGGGGAGAGGAGUAGAUUCCUUGGAGAUGCAUUAUAUCCCAGGAGCUAAGAGGAGGAGACUUGGUCAGGUGGAGCCCUGGGACCAGCCCCUCCCCAGCUUCAAACAGACUAGUUCUCCUCUGGUCUGUUUCCUGUAGAUUUUGUCCUGUGUAAAAGUUUUCACGUGAUCCUUGCCAUUCUGGCUGCUGGUACACUCUCAUCCACUUAUUAAAUAAAAAGCUAUGUCUGUCAAUUAAGUCUUGUACCAAUGCUGACUUUCAUCAGGAAGGCUUGGCUUAAGCUGCUCACUGUCUGGAAUGCCACUUUACCCCUCCAGCAAUUUACCCCUGUACUAUCCUCAGGGAGGAAAGAAUCGUCUCCUUUCCAAAGCUGUCUAAGCAACUCUCUUCCCUGACUUUGAUUUGCCUAAGAGCUGACUUUUGCAUUUUAAAUACUACAAUCUCUCACUUCUUUAUAAACUACCUUAAAAUUAUUCCUCAGCAGUGAUAUGUACAUGUGUGAUGCUUUCAAAAUUGACUAUCAGCUUCUUUAAGAUGAGGGUACAUAUUUUGCUUCUUGUAUUACUGCUAUUAAUUCCACCAUUACACACUGAAAAUGAAAUGUAGGUUAAAACAGUAAGUACUGCUCAAUUUCAUUACAAAUACCAACAAUUUUAGACAUUUGCCAUUUAUCAAAACAUCUAAAAAAUAAGUAUAGAUUUUUAAAACCUCAAAUAAGUAUAAUUUUAACAGACAGUUAUGUUACAAGAUUUUAUUCAGCUGAAAGGUGACGGAAAAAAUAAGUGAGCUGUAUUUUAAAGUUAAAAGCAUAUAGUGGGUGAAGGGGUUAAAACAAGCAUAUAGAAGCCUUAAAAACUUGGAGAGAGAGAGGGAUAACUCAGAAAGAAAAAAAACUAGAUUUUUAUCAUAAAUAUAAUCUAGAAAAAGGAGGGCUUCAGAUUCAACAGAGAUAACAUAAGAAUGUUUCUUCAGUUACAUAAUAUUCUCUAAUAUGUAUCUGUACAAAAGUUAAGAAUUAAUGAUUGAUGGCUUUCCUUAGACACUGUAAAAACACAUUUGUUUGUCUAGGUUGAUUUCUGGCCCCAAACUCCUAAAGAACUGAAGUUUUAAUGUUAUCUGACUUUACUAAAUAAAUAUGUUCUUGUCCUUUGUUCCAGACAAGAAGUAUCCUUUCCUACGCUUCUCAUGAAUGCUCAGAUGCUCGCAAUGAUGCAAAAAGCAGCUUUCAUAUUAAUAAAAGAAGGCAAAGUCUUGAAGCAGCUUUUAUGAGGAAUAAGGAGAAGCAAGUAGCAUUGUUAUGUUAAACCUGUGUUUUUGCACCACUGAACCAAGCAUAGAUGGAAACCUAAGUGGAUCCAAAGAAGGUAAGGAAGACCCUGAAAGGAUUCAGAAGUGAGCACCAAGACAUCAUAAAAGCAAACAACCAAAGCCAAAACAUGAAGAGGAGGUCAAGCCAGAGGUGAAACAAUCAAUGCAGUAGCAUCUGAAUUUGCUUCCAUUUCAGGGUAAGUGACCCUAUUAUUUAUUAUCUAAAUUGGAACACUUAGGCACUGUUAAUAAUUAUGAUGGGACAAUCCGGACUGUUCCAGGAAAACCAGAAAAUAUGAUAAUCCUACUUUAGAGGCUACUGUUUCAUUGAUGAUGAAAAACAGUACACAUUGAAAUAUGAGCAUAGAUAAAUGUUGGGAUUAUUGAGCAUCUCCAGAGUGGUGGGCACUGCUAUGUUCUGGAAUUAUAGGGGUGAACAAAAGGGCCUCAGAGGGUUUAUAAUCUGUUUAGUGUGGACAUCAGCUUCAGAAGAUCUCCUGAUACACCUCUGAAAUUAGAUAAAUUAAAAUCCAAAUGAUACAUGUUUAUUGAAAUUUGUUGACAUGCAAACAUUGUAAAAGGUGCUAAAAGAGAUACAAAGAAGUCAAGACAAGGCUUCAUUCUUAACAUGUUUAUAAUCUAGUUUAGGGAAAAGAUCAUGUGUUGAAGUUAAAAAGUUAAAUUGCUCUAUAAGACAAAUAUCGAUACAGUGUAGCCAUGGAGGAACUGUUACAAGAUAAUGCAUAAUUGAUUGGCAAAUUAAUUGUAAAGAAGUAAUUGUUAAAGGAGUUCCUAGAGGGGUAAGUUCCUUCAGUCAGGGUAAUUGGCUUUAUGGAGAAGCUUAGUCCUGGGUGUUGAAGACCAGGUAGGCCUGGGGUAGGUAGAUAGGAGGAGGAGGAGAGAGAGGUGGAAUAUGAAAACCAAACUCAGAGUAGGAAUGUGCAAGGUGAUUUGAAGGACCCUAGUUCAGUGGGUGUGGAAUGGAAGAGACAGAGCUGGAAAGAUACUUGACUCUUAAAAAAGCUCCCCCCCCAAGAUUUUUUACCUUUUUAAAAAUUGAAAUAUAGUUUAUUUGCAAGGUUAUAUUCAUUUCAGGUAGA